UGGGGGGACAAAACUUUCCACCCUCUAAAAGGGACUAGUCCUUCAGAGCAAGACAAACUCAAAGAACUUUCUCUAUCAACACUAGAAUGUUAGGGACAAUGAGGAAAUGGGGGGGUCAUCCACUGCUACGCUGCUAGCUCUAAGGACAGUGCCCAGCAUAGACCAGAAGUCCAAGAUACUGUAUGUCUUUCUCAUUGGACUAAAAGUCAGCCUGGACUUUUCUACAAGGGGAGAUUAGGAGUAAGACUUCUUCAGGCAACUGACACAUUUGAUUAAACUAUAAGUUGUCAGCCUCUACUUCUAACUCCUGAGUAGAAGCCACUCCAAAGAACUAUGCAGUGAAGCUUGAUACAGGCUAAGUGAGGUCAUUCAAGGUCACAACAGGAAAAGAACAGAAAGAGUGAGCAGCUCAAGAAGGGAUUGUCCCACACACCAGAGCCAUCCUUCCAAAGGUAAAUUCAAUAUCCAUCUCAGAAGAUUCCAGCUGAUACUUGCUAAGAUGAAAUGAUUCCUCUCAUGUGAUUCUGUUUCUCAUCCCUGCGACUGUCUAUGCCUCUGUCCUCUGCUUACUCUUGAGUUUAAUUUACUUAUGAAUUUAAACCUCCAAAAUCUUUCAGUGAAGCAAUUUUUCCAGUUAAUAAACUGAAAUAAAUCCAUCUCUACCCUUUUCCCAUGAUUACCAAUUAUUUAAUCAAAAAAUUGAAAGAUAUCCCCAUUGUUGCAUAGCAGAACCAAUAUAGUCAAAAUGCC
This 750-nucleotide long non-coding RNA is filed under the name Fukomys damarensis (Damara mole-rat). RNAcentral describes it as "lncRNA (ENSFDAG00000028772.1)". The record is from RNAcentral. Lineage: Eukaryota; Metazoa; Chordata; Mammalia; Rodentia; Bathyergidae.